UACGAAGGGGGCUAGCGUUGCUCGGAAUCACUGGGCGUAAAGCGCACGUAGGCGGCUUUUUAAGUCAGGGGUGAAAUCCUGGAGCUCAACUCCAGAACUGCCUUUGAUACUGAGAGGCUUGAGUCCGGGAGAGGUGAGUGGAACUGCGAGUGUAGAGGUGAAAUUCGUAGAUAUUAGGAAGAACACCAGUGGCGAAGGCGGCUCACUGGUCCGGUACUGACGCUGAGGUGCGAAAGCGUGGGGAGCAAACAGG
Molecule: ribosomal RNA, 253 nt
Filed under: uncultured bacterium
Lineage: Bacteria
Description: partial 16S ribosomal RNA
Rfam family: Bacterial small subunit ribosomal RNA
Source: RNAcentral